RNAcentral lists this long non-coding RNA (937 nucleotides) under Brassica napus (rape). RNAcentral describes it as "long non-coding RNA (BNAP_LNC023552)". The record is from RNAcentral. Lineage: Eukaryota; Viridiplantae; Streptophyta; Magnoliopsida; Brassicales; Brassicaceae.
AGAGAUUCCAAUAUGUAAAAUGUCAUUUUGAUUAGAUAAUGAUGACAAACAUCAAUGCUCAAAUUUGAUAUGUUCAUAAAUUUCCCUAACAUCUAUUUUUAUUGGUUAGGGACAAGUUGCCUAUUCAUAUUAUUUCUAGCAACAUAAAACAUUUUUGAUGAAUAGAUUAAACCAAGACUCAUGCACUAAGUGAUCAGUUUAAUGCAAGCCUUAACACAAUAGUGAAUGGAAACAAUCAGAGGGUAAACCUUAUUUGUAUUUAGUUAAUAAAUCUCGACACCUUAGCAUCCUAGGCUCAACAAUCGGCUAAUCAGACAUAAGUAGAAAAACACAAAGAUGAUAGAUGAAGAUAACAUACUGAAUCGAUUGCAAAAAAUAAAAUAGGGUUCCUGGUUUCUUCUCCAAAUGUUGAGAGAUCCUUCUUCCUUACAAAGAAGCAAAUCGCAAGUCUCCUUUCUCACAGUGUGUAAAAACUUAGAUGUCUCUCCUAAAAAAAAAAAAGGUGAUUUAUUGCAGGUGGCAGAAGUUUGGAAAUUUCUUUAAAAAUCUCAAUCUUCGGAGCGGUUGGUCAUUUAUUUAAUUGGGUGCUCCAUUAUGAAAUCUCCAAAUUUCACUCUUUUUUGCAUGCUUUCCUCCAAGUUAUCCACAUUCCAUCUACACCCUACACCAGAACUGUAAUGCCUCAAAAAUAACUAAAAUUACUCGAUAAAAUCUCAAAAAUGUUUUAGAAAACUAUGUACAAUGUGUGUUAAAAACACAAUACCUAAUUCCCUCAUACUUAGAUCCUUGUUUGUCCUCAAACAAAUUCAGAACCUAAAGAAUGAAACUAAGAUUUAAAAAAGCAAAAAAUCUCAAAUUCUCAACAACCAUAAUUCAACCACAAAUCGCACACCCACACAAACAGUAUAACCAACAACACAACCUUACUUAAACCCUA